RNAcentral lists this ribosomal RNA (450 nucleotides) under uncultured bacterium. Its description in RNAcentral is "partial 16S ribosomal RNA". It matches the Rfam family "Bacterial small subunit ribosomal RNA", at positions 354 to 796 of the family's 1533-position model. The record is from RNAcentral.
GUGGGGAAUCUUCCACAAUGGACGAAAGUCUGAUGGAGCAACGCCGCGUGAGUGAAGAAGGGUUUCGGCUCGUAAAGCUCUGUUGUCGGGGACGAAUGUGCAGUAUUUGAAUAAAGUAGUGCAAUGACGGUACCUGACGAGGAAGCCACGGCUAACUACGUGCCAGCAGCCGCGGUAAUACGUAGGUGGCAAGCGUUGUCCGGAAUUAUUGGGCGUAAAGGGAGCGCAGGCGGGAAGGUAAGUCGGUCUUAAAAGUGCGGGGCUCAACCCCGUGAUGGGAUCGAAACUAUCUUUCUUGAGUGCAGGAGAGGAAAGUGGAAUUCCUAGUGUAGCGGUGAAAUGCGUAGAGAUUUGGAAGAACACCAGUGGCGAAGGCGACUUUCUGGACGAUGUCUGACGCUGAGGCGCGAAAGCUAGGGGAGCGAACGGGAUUAGAUACCCCUGUAGUCC